This 507-nucleotide ribosomal RNA is filed under the name uncultured bacterium. RNAcentral's name for it is "bacterial SSU rRNA". It matches the Rfam family "Bacterial small subunit ribosomal RNA", at positions 18 to 518 of the family's 1533-position model. The record is from RNAcentral.
UCUGGCUCAGGAUGAACGCUAGCGACAGGCUUAACACAUGCAAGUCGAGGGGCAGCAUAAAAGUAGCAAUACUUGGUGGCGACCGGCGCACGGGUGAGUAACGCGUAUGCAACCUACCUAUCAGAGGGGAAUAACCCGGCGAAAGUCGGACUAAUACCGCAUAAAACAGGGGCACCGCAUGGUGAUAUUUGUUAAAGAGAUUCGCUGAUAGAUGGGCAUGCGUUCCAUUAGGUAGUUGGUGAGGUAACGGCUCACCAAGCCGACGAUGGAUAGGGGAACUGAGAGGUUGGUCCCCCACACUGGUACUGAGACACGGACCAGACUCCUACGGGAGGCAGCAGUGAGGAAUAUUGGUCAAUGGGCGAGAGCCUGAACCAGCCAAGUCGCGUGAAGGAAGAAGGAUCUAUGGUUCGUAAACUUCUUUUGCAGGGGAAUAAAGUGCAGGACGUGUCCUGUUUUGUAUGUACCCUGAGAAUAAGGAUCGGCUAACUCCGUGCCAGCCGCCGC